GAUGGACGCUGGCGGCGUGCCUAAUACAUGCAAGUCGAGCGAACAGACGAGGAGCUUGCUCCUCUGACGUUAGCGGCGGACGGGUGAGUAACACGUGGGUAACCUACCUAUAAGACUGGGAUAACUCCGGGAAACCGGGCGUAAUACCGGAUAACACAUAAAACCGACAUGGUUUCAUGAUGAAAGACGGUUUUGUCUGUCACUUAUAGAUGGACCCGCGGCGUAUUAGCUAGUUGGUAAGGUAACGGCUUACCAAGGCAACGAUACGUAGCCGACCUGAGAGGGUGAUCGGCCACACUGGAACUGAGACACGGUCCAG
Molecule: ribosomal RNA, 319 nt
Filed under: uncultured bacterium
Lineage: Bacteria
Description: bacterial SSU rRNA
Rfam family: Bacterial small subunit ribosomal RNA
Source: RNAcentral